UACGGGAGGCAGCAGGGGGAAUAUUGCACAAUGGGCGAAAGCCUGAUGCAGCUAUGCCGCGUGUAUGAAGAAGGCCUUAGGGUUGUAAAGUACUUUCAUCGGGGAGGAAAAACAAAACUAAUAAUUUUAUUUCUUGACGUUACCCGAAAAAGAAGCACCGGCUAACUCCGUGCCAGCAGCCGCGGUAAUACGGAGGGUGCUAGCGUUAAUCAGAAUUACUGGGCGUAAAGAGCACGUAGGUGGUUUUUUAAGUCAGAUGUGAAAUCCCUGGGCUUAACCUAGGAACUGCAUUUUGAAACUGAAAUACUAGAGUAUCGUAGAGGGAGGUAGAAUUCUAGGUGUAGCGGUGAAAUGCGUAGAUAUCUGGAGGAAUACCUGUGGCGAAAGCGGCCUCCUAAACGAAUACUGACACUGAGGGUGCGAAAGCGUGGGGAGCAAACAGGGAUUAGAUACC
RNAcentral lists this ribosomal RNA (454 nucleotides) under uncultured bacterium. Its description in RNAcentral is "bacterial SSU rRNA". It matches the Rfam family "Bacterial small subunit ribosomal RNA", at positions 340 to 786 of the family's 1533-position model. The record is from RNAcentral.